This 90-nucleotide microRNA precursor is filed under the name Poecilia formosa (Amazon molly). RNAcentral describes it as "miRNA (ENSPFOG00000021057.1)". Lineage: Eukaryota; Metazoa; Chordata; Actinopteri; Cyprinodontiformes; Poeciliidae. The record is from RNAcentral.
UUAUGUGUGUGUGUGUGUGUGUGUGUGUGUGUGUGUGUGUGUGUAUAUAUAUAUAAAUACAUAUAUAUAUAUAUAUAUUAUCAACUAUAC